RNAcentral lists this long non-coding RNA (1185 nucleotides) under Gossypium barbadense (sea-island cotton). RNAcentral's name for it is "long non-coding RNA (GBAR_LNC020306)". Lineage: Eukaryota; Viridiplantae; Streptophyta; Magnoliopsida; Malvales; Malvaceae. The record is from RNAcentral.
UUUUCUUUCUUUUUUCUUUUCCGUGUUCUCCUUUCUAACCUAGAAACCCUAGUCCCUGUCUCCCUUAAAGAUGUCAUCAUUUCCUCUAUCAAACCACCAUCAGUGAGCAAUAUUUUGUCAAUGAAUGACAUCGUGGGACGCUUAUUUUUUCUCCUUGUUUUUCAUUUUUUUCCUUCUCCUUACCCACGGUUGUUACUUCUCAUUGUCAUUGCUAUGAUCGUCGAACGUCUUCUCUGACAUCGAACUUUCAAUCCAAAACCAACAAAUUGAUUGAGUUUUAGCUGGGUUGGCAUCAACAUUGUUGUCAAUGAAGAAAGAUAAGGGUUCGAGUGUGCUCAAGCGAGUUUUAUCCUCUUAUUUAAGGAUUGGUGAGGGGCUAUAAGUAGUUCUAGGCAUUGUAUCAAUAUAUAGAGGAUUAUAUUUCUCAAAAAAAAUCUCCUAAUCUCACAGUCGAUAUAGCUUGAUUUUGAUAUGUCUUUUUACUUUUGAGCUUGCUAACAGUGGUUUGAUAGAAAUAGUGACAACAUCCUUGAAGGAGGCAAUGGCUAUGGUUUCUAGGUUAGAAGGGAGAAGAUGAAGAAAAGGAGAGGACAUAGAAAAAAUAAGGAAAGAAAAUGAAAAAAGAAAAAGUGGAAUUCAUGGUGGAAGAGAUGGACUUAACAAUUGAGUGACCAAUUUGAUUAAUUUCUUUAAUGAAAGUGACUAAAUUAACCAAAAAAAUUAGAGAGACUAAAAUAAGAACAACCUAAUUUUGGAGUGACUAGUAGGGAAGAUUACCCAAAUUUUUUUCGAAAGACAAAUUUACUUUAUAUGACUUAAUUGAAGUAUUAAGUAAUCAAUAAAUUUAAAAAUGAUAUAUGAAAUUCAAUAUACUGAACAAAUCUCCUAAGAUAUUUUAUGUUAUAAAGUACUUGUGAUUUACUUUUAAAAAAACAACCACAAAAAUUUAAGUUUUAUUCAAAUUUUUUCAAAUUAUUUCGUGUCAUAGGUGUUAUACAUAACAAAUCUCUUCGCACAUAAUAUGAUGUAAAGCAUUGUAGCAAAGCAAUCCGCUACAAUAAAUCUUGUAACGAUCUGAAAAUCAGUGGUGUCGAAAAAUUCAGUUUCAAAAUUUUAUUUUCAUAAAUUGAAGUCAUAAAUAUUUUUAUUAAAUAUUUAUAGAAUUAUAGUAGAAAUUAAUUGAAC